GAAGAACUCACCUAACCCGUAUUUAUCAAAUUGAUGAUCAAUAUCCCAGCACUCAUUGCUACAAAAGAAAAUCAGGAAUUACAGGUGAUUGUGCUGCUAAUGUUAGAGCCCCGUCUGCCCUUUGUCUGGAUUUAUGCUUGCCAUGGUGAUGGCUAACCUUCUGCUUAUCUCCUUCUUCAUGUUCAUUUCUAUCUUUUGCAGUACUUCUAUGUUUCUUCUCUUUACCACGAGAAUGGCGUUUGCUUCUUCUCAAAUUUACAUUUUCUAGUUCAGAAUUCUCCAUCAU
This 286-nucleotide unclassified non-coding RNA is filed under the name Hevea brasiliensis (rubber tree). Lineage: Eukaryota; Viridiplantae; Streptophyta; Magnoliopsida; Malpighiales; Euphorbiaceae. The record is from RNAcentral.